AGACACUUUAAGGAGAAAAUGGCAGCAGCUUUGGGUAUCAGUAAGGACAGAUGGCAUUACCACCAUCAGCUGAAGCAGUUGUACAGAAAAGUGAGAACACUAUUUUGCAAAUAAGAGCAAAAUGCAGUUCAGAGUGUAUACACACACACACACACACACACACACACGAACAUCUGAAAGCCUCCAAACAGCUUAGGUACACCUUGAAGAACUGGACUUCUUGCAAUUUCUAUAGAAAUACUGUUGGGUCAUAACUUUCUUUCAUACCCAUUGUUAAUGAGAAUGGGAAUGCAUGGUCAUGUGAAUUUUCAUGUUUUAAAAAGGCUCACUGAUACGAAGAAUACUUUACACAAAUCACUUGUAAUCACAUAUGGCCAUGGGUUGAAUUGGCCCCCUCUAGAAGAUGUUGAAGAUGUUAAAGUCCUAACCCUUACUACCUGUGAACAUGAUUUUAUUUGGAAAUAGGAUCUUUUCAGAUGUUCAAGUUAAGAUGAGGACAUUAGUGCAGGCCCUAAUCCAAUAUAACCAUUUCCUUAUAAAAAGGGGAAACACAGACAUAGACAAAUAAAGAGAGAAUCCCACAUGAAGAUUGGAGAUAUGGUGCCAUAAGACAAGGUAUUUCCAAAAGCCAGGAGAGGAACCUGAAACAGAUCUUUCCCUAGUGCCUUCUGAGGAAGUCUAGUCCUGCCGGCAAAUUCAUCUUAGACUUCUACCUCUUGGAUUGUAAGAUAAUACAUUUCUGCUGUUUCAUCCACUCAGUAAUGUCGUACUUUGUUAUGAUAGCAACUCACGCAACAUGUAGUUGGGAGAAAAUGAGUACCUUGGUCCUGAAGGCGAGCUCUGGGAGAUACACCAAAACAUCAUGUGAAUCUUUUUUCUUAUCAAAGUAAAAACAUUAGCAAUGUACAUGUCAAAAAUCAUUGGUGAUAUAAUUAAGUUUAAGUGUUUACAAUAGAUUGAAAUAGCAAAUUACUCUUGGAAUAAAGUAAUAUGAUAUUUAUAAAGCCUAGUAGGCUAUGUUAUAUAUGCCACAAGUCCCAUGAGUUUUCAGUUCAUGUACAAAAGGAGAAAGCUACUUAAGACAGAAUAGUAUAAAUUGAAGGAAAGGUGCUCCAGGUGACUGCCAGUUGGGAGCAUUUUUUAAAGAGGGAAGGAGGGUGGAGCCCAGAAAGAGUGGAGUGAUCUGAGGAGUUGCCAGCACAGCACCAGGAAAACAGAAAAAGGAAGCAGAUUUUGUUUAUUUGGUGGUUUGUAGGCCCUAAUUCAUGAACUGGAAAUACUCGUUGCACUAAAAAUGAUAGACAAAUUUGACUAGAGGUGUUUAGAAGUCAGGGAGAAGGCUGUAAGAAUGGUUAGGGAAGUCUUUACAGAGUUGGAUUUAAGCUGAAUUUUGAAGGUCAGGCAUUUUUCCAGAGGCCAAAGAAACACGUCCAAGAAUUUUUGAGGGAAUUUGGAUGUUUUAUUUUGUAUUGUGAGACAGGGUCUCACUAAGUUGCCCAGACAGGUUUUG
This 1510-nucleotide long non-coding RNA is filed under the name Marmota monax (woodchuck). Lineage: Eukaryota; Metazoa; Chordata; Mammalia; Rodentia; Sciuridae. The record is from RNAcentral.